Salvia splendens (bonfire salvia) is the source of this 558-nucleotide long non-coding RNA. RefSeq lists it as uncharacterized. NCBI's taxonomy places the organism in Eukaryota, Viridiplantae, Streptophyta, Magnoliopsida, Lamiales, Lamiaceae. The transcript has 3 exons. The record is from RefSeq and is a predicted model, not a curated record.
UCAAAUAAUUAAUAUAAAAAAUAUAUAUAAUAAUAAUUAUUAUUUUUCUAGCAUAUCCGAGAAGAACCAUAGUCAUGGCAGCAUUAAAUGCUGCCUUGAUGAGUAAUAGACAUAAUGAAGGCUGCAUUAAUGAAGUGUGGAAAAAUUCUUCAUCCUCUGACACAUGGUAAUUAUUCUUUGCAAUAAUACUUGCAAGUUACAUCAUUUGCCAUCUUAUAUAAAUCGGUACAUGCACUUUCUUUCACCAUAAAACAUCACCAUCAUAUAUCCUAAUCAUCCCUUCACAAACCCCACAUAAUCCCUUCACACACCCCACAUACUAUUUCCUCUGCCACUCCAAUUCCACAUCUAACAGAGGAGUCCAAGGAGGAAGAUUUGCACACACUUGUAGAAUCAAGUCCCUAAUCCAACAACACCUCGUCCCCACAUAAAAAGGGUACGUCCGCAAGUAAAGUCGGAACGAAUGAUUCAAGCUAAGGGAACUAAACAUUCCAGGUUGAGCAGCGAAGUGGUGGAGGAAGUGCUAUUGAGACAAGACAUUUAAUUCAGUCAGAUUUU